Odocoileus virginianus texanus is the source of this 1522-nucleotide long non-coding RNA. RefSeq lists it as uncharacterized. Lineage: Eukaryota; Metazoa; Chordata; Mammalia; Artiodactyla; Cervidae. The record is from RefSeq and is a predicted model, not a curated record.
GCUGCUGGCCUGCCCUGCAAGGUGUGGCACGCCCUGCGGCUUGGACUCAAUGCCCCGCCUCUGUCCCCAGGCGGAGAGUGACCUUGGGCGCCUUCCGACCCUGCCUGGGCCUGGCAGUCACUGGUGACACAGGUGGGAAGGUGCCCGCAGGCGAAGCGGGUAAAGGAUGCGCAGCCGGAGGAGAGCCGCCCGGAGGCCACCUUGGCUGCUCCUUAGACCACACUGAGCAGGAGGGUAACUCAGGCAGCCGGGAGGCGGUGGGAGAGAACACCCUGCAGAUCGCCGAGAAAAGAGAGGCCCAUCCUUGGGACAGAGGCCCCAGGAGGCCUGUCAGGGGGCCCGUGUGGGGGGUGGACACCACAAAGCCACUCCUUUCCAGAAUGUGCAGCUUUCCCGGGGGGUGGAGGGGACCCCUUGCUUCACUCUGGCUGUCCCAUCUGACUCAGGCCCCAACACCUGCUUCCUGCCUGUUCUUACCUCCACUUUCCUUACGAGCUUCUGACCCUUUACAGGAGCAGGAGGCCUGGCAGAAACUGCUAGGAGGGCUCCCAGAGUAUUUCAUUGAAUUGGACAGAAAGGCCCUGGCUAGCUGCAUACCUGGGACAACAUGAGCUCGGAGUGAAUUCUAGAACGGACAUUAUAGGGGUUCUUUAGAACCUGCUGACCAUUCCAGAGGACCGGGCGGGUCCUCUCCCCAGGGAGCCCUCCCCUAAACCCUGGGUACUUGUGCCUCCCCCAACACUGGGCAUAUGUCGUCAGCCAGCAGGCCAUCCAAUGAAACAGGCCUGGGAGUAGGGAGGGGGCUGUCACCUCUCCCUUCUAAGCUUGUGUGGGAAGCAGCUGGGGCUGGGUGACCCUGGAGGGGGACAGUGAGGGAGAAGCUGAGCACAGACUCUUUCUCCUCCUGUGAAAAGCAAGGAGGCGGCCGCUGCGAGAACACAGUGACAGGAGUCGGAGAGAGGAAGAAAUACGAUGAGACGACAACGGAACACAGAGCACGCCCAACAUCACAGUCAGAGGGGCCGCAGCAAACCACGACGACCACGCCGCUCAGACCACUGCCCUGCGGGACGAGGGGCCGGGCUGCCGCCCCCCAGGGGACAUCAGGAUGGGACAGACCGGGCCCAGGUGACCGCUCAAGGGCAGCAGCUCUGAACCAGGGGUGGCCGGGGCCCCCUCCAUCCAUCAGGGACUCUUCCAGAACCACCAGUGGGAAGGAGGUGGUGCUCACUGUGGUUCUCCAGGGAGGGUUCUCCUUAAUGUCUUAAGAGCCUCAGGGUGGACAGAGCAGCUGGGCCUUCAGCACUAAUCACAUCCAAAGAAAGCCAGAUCGCCAGACGGCCGCUCCCCGUGAUAUAUACGUCUGCUCCCCCAACCCCAGGCAUGCGCACUGGACUGGUGUCUUCUAGUCAGCAAAGCACUAAACCCACAGGCUCACCUUCCAUCUGGUCAAGGGAACCCUCACUCCCGAGGACGGACGUGGGGAUGAAUAAAAGCACAACCUGGUGUAGUUGGGACCCAG